CUACGGGGGGCAGCAGUGGGGAAUAUUGGACAAUGGGCGAAAGCCUGAUCCAGCCAUGCCGCGUGUGUGAAGAAGGCCUUCGGGUUGUAAAGCACUUUCAGUGGGGAAGAAAGCCUUGGGGCUAAUACCCUCGAGGAAGGACAUCACCCACAGAAGAAGCACCGGCUAACUCCGUGCCAGCAGCCGCGGUAAUACGGAGGGUGCGAGCGUUAAUCGGAAUUACUGGGCGUAAAGCGCGCGUAGGCGGUCUGAUAAGCCGGUUGUGAAAGCCCCGGGCUCAACCUGGGAACGGCAUCCGGAACUGUCAGGCUAGAGUGCAGGAGAGGAAGGUAGAAUUCCCGGUGUAGCGGUGAAAUGCGUAGAGAUCGGGAGGAAUACCAGUGGCGAAGGCGGCCUUCUGGACUGACACUGACGCUGAGGUGCGAAAGCGUGGGUAGCAAACAGGAUUAGAUACCCCGGUAGUC
Molecule: ribosomal RNA, 464 nt
Filed under: Vreelandella stevensii
Lineage: Bacteria; Pseudomonadati; Pseudomonadota; Gammaproteobacteria; Oceanospirillales; Halomonadaceae
Description: partial 16S ribosomal RNA
Rfam family: Bacterial small subunit ribosomal RNA
Source: RNAcentral